This is a long non-coding RNA of Carassius auratus (goldfish), 910 nucleotides long. RefSeq lists it as uncharacterized. The record is from RefSeq and is a predicted model, not a curated record. NCBI's taxonomy places the organism in Eukaryota, Metazoa, Chordata, Actinopteri, Cypriniformes, Cyprinidae. The transcript has 3 exons.
UAAAAACAAACACAUGACUCACAAAUCAUUAAUACAUCCCAUAGCCCCAAUUAAUGUUGCUGCCAUCAAGCUAACAUUGAACAGUCUGUCUGUGACUGUGCAUCUGUAACAUUUUGAAAUGGAAAAGUGAAGGAGAGAAGGUCUAUGAAAAAAGACAAGUAAUAAAAACGAAUAUUUGAAACAGGACUAACAAUCCCACCCUCUUAUCUGGAAGUAUCUCAGUGGGGUCACUGGUUGCUAUGGCAACAUCACAACGUUUCAUAUAAGCACCACUGUCGUUAAAAUUACAAUAGACAGAAAGCAAGGAACAGAUGAGAGAAAACAGAGGAAAACACAACAUAAAUCCUUUAUUACAAGGCAUUUCAACACAUAGGAAUCGCAACAUAUACGCUGGUAAAUUACUCUGCUGGAAUGAUGCAGACCACCACACAGGAGCCAAGGCAUUACAUCAUCACUCCAGUGCACACUGCACUGACCUUGUCGCCACAGCAACCAUCUUUACCUGACAUCACAGUCUGUGCGGAGAUUCUGAGUGCGAAUCAUUCUGAUUGGUCAUUUUUUUUAUUGCGCGUUCUUUAUUUCAUCAAAUCACUGAGCAGUUCAAGGAAAACGGCUUACUGCAGGUUACUAGAUUCAAAUAAAAACAGGCUGGCUCGGUGGCAAAUUAAACUAAUUUAUUGUACUACUGUUUUAUGAGCCUGAAACCACUGACUUCGAAGGAGAUUACGAAAGGGUGAAUCGUGUGAUGUCACAGUUGCCAUGGAAACGGUUGAAGAACAAUGACUGGGUAAGACCAGGUGCUGGUGAAAGAGGUUCAAAAUCUGAAACUAAAUAUGGCAGCACUCACCAUCCCAGCAAACCUGACCACUGGAGCACAGGCCUUCAUCAAAUAGACAACCUUGAAAGAGAG